Molecule: ribosomal RNA, 385 nt
Filed under: Grosmannia pruni
Lineage: Eukaryota; Fungi; Ascomycota; Sordariomycetes; Ophiostomatales; Ophiostomataceae
Description: eukaryotic LSU rRNA
Rfam family: Eukaryotic large subunit ribosomal RNA
Source: RNAcentral
UUGACCUCGGAUCAGGUAGGACUACCCGCUGAACUUAAGCAUAUCAAUAAGCGGAGGAAAAGAAACCAACAGGGAUUGCCUCAGUAACGGCGAGUGAAGCGGCAACAGCUCAGAUUUGGAAUCUGGCCCCCAGGGCCCGAGUUGUAAUCUGGAGAGGAUGCUUCUGGCGCGGCGCCUUCCGAGUUCCCUGGAACGGGACGCCGGAGAGGGUGAGAGCCCCGUACGGUCGGACGCCCAGCCUCUGUGAAGCUCCUUCGACGAGUCGAGUAGUUUGGGAAUGCUGCUCAAAAUGGGAGGUAAAUUUCUUCUAAAGCUAAAUACCGGCCAGAGACCGAUAGCGCACAAGUAGAGUGAUCGAAAGAUGAAAAGCACUUUGAAAAGAGGG